AGUGGGGAAUUUUGGACAAUGGGGGCAACCCUGAUCCAGCCAUUCCGCGUGAGUGAAGAAGGCCUUCGGGUUGUAAAGCUCUUUCGGCAGGAACGAAACGGUGAGCUCUAACAUAGCCUGCUAAUGACGGUACCUGAAGAAGAAGCACCGGCUAACUACGUGCCAGCAGCCGCGGUAAUACGUAGGGUGCGAGCGUUAAUCGGAAUUACUGGGCGUAAAGCGUGCGCAGGCGGUUGUGUAAGACAGAUGUGAAAUCCCCGGGCUUAACCUGGGAACUGCGUUUGUGACUGCAUAACUCGAGUGUGGCAGAGGGGGGUGGAAUUCCACGUGUAGCAGUGAAAUGCGUAGAGAUGUGGAGGAACACCGAUGGCGAAGGCAGCCCCCUGGGUCAACACUGACGCUCAUGCACGAAAGCGUGGGGAGCAAACAGGAUUAGAUACCCUGGUAGUCCACGCCCUAAACGAUGCGAACUAGGUGUUGGGGAAGGAGACUUUCUUAGUACCGCAGCUAACGCGUGAAGUUCGCCGCCUGGGGAGUACGGUCGCAAGAUU
Molecule: ribosomal RNA, 551 nt
Filed under: uncultured bacterium
Lineage: Bacteria
Description: bacterial SSU rRNA
Rfam family: Bacterial small subunit ribosomal RNA
Source: RNAcentral